This 253-nucleotide ribosomal RNA is filed under the name uncultured bacterium. RNAcentral describes it as "partial 16S ribosomal RNA". It matches the Rfam family "Bacterial small subunit ribosomal RNA", at positions 524 to 776 of the family's 1533-position model. The record is from RNAcentral.
UACGUAGGGGGCAAGCGUUGUCCGGAAUCAUUGGGCGUAAAGGGCGCGUAGGCGGCAAUUCAAGUCAGUUGUGAAAUCUCCGAGCUUAACUCGGAACGGUCAACUGAUACUGCUUUGCUAGAGUACAGAAGGGGCAAUCGGAAUUCUUGGUGUAGCGGUGAAAUGCGUAGAUAUCAAGAGGAACACCUGAGGUGAAGACGGGUUGCUGGGCUGAUACUGACGCUGAGGCGCGAAAGCUAGGGUAGCAAACGGG